AUUAGAUGAGCCUAUAUUAGAUUAGCUAGUUGGUGGAGUAAUAGCCUACCAAGGCAAUGAUCUAUAGCUGAUCUGAGAGGAUGAUCAGCCACACUGGAACUGAGAUACGGUCCAGACUCCUACGGGAGGCAGCAGUGGGGAAUAUUGGACAAUGGGCGAAAGCCUGAUCCAGCCAUGCCGCAUGAGUGAAGAAGGCCUUUGGGUUGUAAAGCUCUUUUAGUGAGGAAGAUAAUGACGGUACUCACAGAAGAAGUCCUGGCUAACUCCGUGCCAGCAGCCGCGGUAAUACGGAGAGGGCUAGCGUUAUUCGGAAUUAUUGGGCGUAAAGGGCGCGUAGGCUGAUUAAUAAGUUAAAAGUGAAAUCCCGAGGCUUAACCUUGGGAUUGCUUUUAAAACUAUUAAUCUAGAGAUUGAAAGAGGAUAGAGGAAUUCCUGAUGUAGAGGUAAAAUUCGUAAAUAUUAGGAGGGACACCAGUGGCGAAGGCGUCUAUCUGGUUCAAAUCUGACGCUGAAGCGCGAAGGCGUGGGGAGCAAACAGGAUUAGAUACCCUGGUAGUCCACGCUGUAAACGAUGAAUGUUAAAUAUGGGAAG
RNAcentral lists this ribosomal RNA (592 nucleotides) under Wolbachia endosymbiont of Bemisia tabaci. Its description in RNAcentral is "bacterial SSU rRNA". It matches the Rfam family "Bacterial small subunit ribosomal RNA", at positions 220 to 829 of the family's 1533-position model. The record is from RNAcentral. Lineage: Bacteria; Pseudomonadati; Pseudomonadota; Alphaproteobacteria; Rickettsiales; Anaplasmataceae.